UGAGGAAUAUUGGUCAAUGGGCGAGAGCCUGAACCAGCCAAGUAGCGUGCAGGAUGACGGCCCUAUGGGUUGUAAACUGCUUUUAUGUGGGGAUAAAGUGCGUGACGUGUCAUGCAUUGCAGGUACCACAUGAAUAAGGACCGGCUAAUUCCGUGCCAGCAGCCGCGGUAAUACGGAAGGUCCGGGCGUUAUCCGGAUUUAUUGGGUUUAAAGGGAGCGUAGGCUGUCUAUUAAGCGUGUUGUGAAAUUUACCGGCUCAACCGGUGGCUUGCAGCGCGAACUGGUCGACUUGAGUAUGCAGGAAGUAGGCGGAAUUCAUGGUGUAGCGGUGAAAUGCUUAGAUAUCAUGACGAACUCCGAUUGCGCAGGCAGCUUACUGUAGCAUAACUGACGCUGAUGCUCGAAAGUGCGGGUAUCAAACAAG
RNAcentral lists this ribosomal RNA (424 nucleotides) under Fusobacteriota bacterium. RNAcentral describes it as "Fusobacteria bacterium partial 16S ribosomal RNA". It matches the Rfam family "Bacterial small subunit ribosomal RNA", at positions 355 to 776 of the family's 1533-position model. Lineage: Bacteria; Fusobacteriati; Fusobacteriota. The record is from RNAcentral.